GAGAGAACAGCCUGUGCCGUCAACCAACUGUGUCUAGAUAAUAAAUCUACAGUGUUUUGAUCUUUCAAAUUUUGGAGGUCAGAAGCUCCAACUCCCUUCUGGAUAAACUGUUCGGCAGCUGAACUGACAGCAACAGCCUGUGGGGAGGGGGUGUUUUCUAUCAAGGAAGAGAUGUCACUGUUCUUGAGAGCAUCCAGGCAGCUCUAAAAGAAGUGGGAAAAUGUGUUGGAGAAGCUGGGCUGACCCUCCUAAUCAACAACGCUGGCACUGGAUUGUUCAAUGAUCUAGACACUGAAAAUGCCAAGGAUAUGAUGACAGUAUAUUCCGUCAAUACCAUUGGCCCUCUGCAAAUGAGUCAGGAUCAAGCCUUGGAAGGGAUAUCAGAGGCACAUUCCAGGGGUACCAGCCUCUGGGGUUUCUCUCUUCCCCCCUCAAUGCUUCAAGCAAAGAUAGGUUCUGUAAUGGUAUGUGGGACUGACCUUGGGAGACAGAAGGAAGAGCCGCAG
This is a non-coding RNA of Python bivittatus (Burmese python), 506 nucleotides long. Lineage: Eukaryota; Metazoa; Chordata; Lepidosauria; Squamata; Pythonidae. The record is from RefSeq and is a predicted model, not a curated record.